This is a non-coding RNA of Mycena metata, 86 nucleotides long. NCBI's taxonomy places the organism in Eukaryota, Fungi, Basidiomycota, Agaricomycetes, Agaricales, Mycenaceae. The record is from the annotation of a GenBank genome assembly.
GCUUCUAAUAAGUGUAGUUGGUCAUCACGUCCGUCUCACAAUUUGGCGGACACGGGAGGUCCCCGGUUCGAGCCCGGGUUGAACCA